RNAcentral lists this long non-coding RNA (578 nucleotides) under Zostera marina. Its description in RNAcentral is "long non-coding RNA (ZMAR_LNC003791)". Lineage: Eukaryota; Viridiplantae; Streptophyta; Magnoliopsida; Alismatales; Zosteraceae. The record is from RNAcentral.
GACGAAAUAUUUUUCUUUAAAUAAGAGUUGGGACGUCGUAUAGGAGAUCAUCAUCAAGCCCCUCUUCGUUACUAUCGCCCGCGUACAAAAGACGGUUACGGGGAGGACGUCGUGUACCUGCCAUCGUUCCCACUCUAGCUGCGUAUGGGGCACAACUGUGGCAGCCAGCUCAGGAACCGCGAGAGUGUACAUAGCUCGGUCGUUGACGACGCCUUUCCAAAAGCCGCAACGCUUUGUUAUCUUCGUCCGACGAGCUUAGUCUUCAACUUGCUCGGCCAUAAGCAGCUCGAACUCCUCAAAGACCUUGUCCAUUUUGACAGCAUGAGUCGAUGCCUCUAGCACGACGACGACAGACAUCUCGGCCAGUAUGCCCGGUGCUUCUCAGCAUCAACAGAGGCCUCACAAACUGCUCGAUGACGUCUACGUCAACCUCUUUAAACAAGCGGGCGACCUAAUCACGUAGCUUGGUCAACUCCUCUGUCUGAUCCAACCCACGCAACAUCCGGAUCUUCUACAGAGCGACGACUUGGAGGCAACGAUGGUACAAGCCACGAUCGAACUCCAGCAAGUCAUGGACG